CUACGGGUCGCUGCAGUGAGGAAUAUUGCACAAUGGGGGGAACCCUGAUGCAGCAACGCCGCGUGGAGGAUGACGCAUUUCGGUGUGUAAACUCCUUUUAUAUGUCAAGAAAAUGACGGUAGCAUAUGAAUAAGCACCGGCUAACUCCGUGCCAGCAGCCGCGGUAAUACGGAGGGUGCAAGCGUUACUCGGAAUCACUGGGCGUAAAGGACGCGUAGGCGGGUUGGAAAGUCAGGUGUGAAAUCCUACAGCCUAACUGUAGAACUGCACUUGAAACUUCUAAUCUAGAGUAUGGGAGGGGGAGAUGGAAUUAGUGGUAUAGGGGUAAAAUCCGUAGAUAUCACUAGGAAUACCUAAAGCGAAGGCGAUCUCCUGGAACAUUACUGACGCUAAGGCGUGAAAGCGUGGGGAGCAAACAGGAUUAGAUACCCCAGUAGUC
Molecule: ribosomal RNA, 439 nt
Filed under: uncultured bacterium
Lineage: Bacteria
Description: partial 16S ribosomal RNA
Rfam family: Bacterial small subunit ribosomal RNA
Source: RNAcentral